Molecule: long non-coding RNA, 306 nt
Filed under: Pongo abelii (Sumatran orangutan)
Lineage: Eukaryota; Metazoa; Chordata; Mammalia; Primates; Hominidae
Description: lincRNA
Source: RNAcentral
UAGUCUUCCCAACAAUCCUGCAAGAUAUAGAAUCUUGACAUGUUUCUCAGGCUGGUCUGGAACUCCUGGGGCUCAAGUGAUCCACCUGCCUCCACCUCACAAAGUGCUGGGAUUACAGGGCCUAUGGUUCAUCCUGCAAUAUCAGAGAAUAUGCAACUGUUGGAAGCUCAUUUGUGCAGAAGCACUAGUUAGACCAAGUCCCAGGAUGGUGGGGACUUGAACUGCCUCAUGCACAUUGAACCCAAGAGCCUGGCCCAUGAAAGUAAAUCAGUGGAUACUUGAAUAAAGAGAAGAAUAUGCGCUGAA